UGUGUGUGUACAUAUUUGUGUGUAUGUAUGUAUAUGUGUAUACACACAUACACACACACACACACACACACACACACACACACACACACUUAU
Molecule: microRNA precursor, 93 nt
Filed under: Notamacropus eugenii (tammar wallaby)
Lineage: Eukaryota; Metazoa; Chordata; Mammalia; Diprotodontia; Macropodidae
Description: miRNA (ENSMEUG00000017404.1)
Source: RNAcentral